This 405-nucleotide ribosomal RNA is filed under the name uncultured bacterium. RNAcentral's name for it is "bacterial SSU rRNA". It matches the Rfam family "Bacterial small subunit ribosomal RNA", at positions 355 to 776 of the family's 1533-position model. The record is from RNAcentral.
UGAGGAAUAUUGCGCAAUGGGCGAAAGCCAGACGCAGCAACGCCGCGUGGGCGAUGAAGGUCUUCGGAUCGUAAAGCCCUUUUCUUGAGGAAGAGGAAGGACAGUACUCUUGGAAUAAGUCUCGGCUAACUACGUGCCAGCAGCCGCGGUAAAACGUAGGAGGCUAGCGUUAUCCGGAUUUAUUGGGCGUAAAGCGCGUGUAGGCGGUGCUCUAAGUUGGAUGUAAAAUCUCCCGGCCUAACUGGGAGGAGCCAUUCAAUACUGGGGCACUUGAGGGCAGGACAAGGAAGCGGAAUUCCCGGUGUAGCGGUGGAAUGCGUAGAUAUCGGGAGGAACACCAGUGGCGAAAGCGGUUUCCGGGUCUGUUCCUGACGCUGAGACGCGAAAGCUAGGGGAGCAAACGGG